UCGAGCGAGGCGGGGAGCAAUCCCCAGUCGAGCGGCGAACGGGUGAGUAACGCGUGGAUGACCUGCCCUUCAGCGGGGAAUAACCCGGGGAAACUCGGGCUAAUACCGCAUACGACCGAGAGGUGAAAGGGGGCCGCAAGGCUCUUACUGAAGGAGGGGUCCGCGUCCGAUUAGCUAGUUGGUAGGGUAAUGGCCUACCAAGGCGACGAUCGGUAGCCGGCCUGAGAGGGUGAUCGGCCACACUGGAACUGAGACACGGUCCAGACUCCUACGGGAGGCAGCAGUGGGGAAUUUUGCGCAAUGGGCGAAAGCCUGACGCAGCAACGCCGCGUGGAGGAUGAAGGUCUUUGGAUUGUAAACUCCUGUCAGCAGGGAAAAAGGGACUGGACCUCAUACGUCCGGAACUUGAUUGUACCUGCAGAGGAAGCCCCGGCUAACUCUGUGCCAGCAGCCGCGGUAAUACAGAGGGGGCAAGCGUUA
This 480-nucleotide ribosomal RNA is filed under the name uncultured bacterium. RNAcentral's name for it is "bacterial SSU rRNA". It matches the Rfam family "Bacterial small subunit ribosomal RNA", at positions 62 to 543 of the family's 1533-position model. The record is from RNAcentral.